GACGAACGCUGGCGGCGUGCCUAAUACAUGCAAGUCGAGCGGACGAAUCGAAAGCUUGCUUUUGAUUCGUUAGCGGCGGACGGGUGAGUAACACGUGGGCAACCUGCCCUGUAGACGGGGAUAACACCGAGAAAUCGGUGCUAAUACCGGAUAACACGAAAUGUCGCAUGACGUUUCGUUGAAAGACGGCGCAAGCUGCCGCUACAGGAUGGGCCCGCGGCGCAUUAGCUAGUUGGUGAGGUAACGGCUCACCAAGGCGACGAUACGUAGCCGACCUGAGAGGGUGAUCGGCCACACUGGGACUGAGACACGGCCCAGACUCCCACGGGAGGCAGCAGUAGGGAAUCCUCCGCAAUGGACGAAAGUCUGACGGAGCAACGCCGCGUGAGCGAAGAAGGCCUUCGGGUCGUAAAGCUCCGUUGUUAGGGAAGAACAAGUAACGCAGUAACUGGCGUUACCGUGACGGUACCUAACGAGAAAGCCACGGCUAACUACGUG
RNAcentral lists this ribosomal RNA (498 nucleotides) under uncultured bacterium. RNAcentral's name for it is "partial 16S ribosomal RNA". It matches the Rfam family "Bacterial small subunit ribosomal RNA", at positions 28 to 507 of the family's 1533-position model. The record is from RNAcentral.